CACGGCCCUUUCCUUUCCUCAGAGUUCAGGGACUGGGGAGCAACCAUUCUUCAUCAACGAGAGCACAAUCCUACGUGCCAGGCACUGUUCUAAGCAGUUAUGGUGUUGACUCAUUUGAACCCCACUACAAUCCUGAGACUGGUGUCUCUGUUUUACAGAUGAGGAAACCGAAGCCCAGAAGGAUUCAGGAACUUGCUCAAGACCUCACAGCAUUGGCUACAGUGGCUCUGGCUGACACCCUUCUUGUCCAAGCCAGGAGUGGUCCCCGGAAGGUUUUCUCUGUUUCAGUGCCACAUGUGGGAUAUGGGACCUACUGCUGACAUGGGGCACCCUGGUGCCUGUGCCCCCAUGGGGACACCAUGAAGAGAGGUCCUACCCUCCCUCUGCCCUGCCUAGUUCUGCUGCUGCCCACUCAGCUUGAUGCCUACUGUUUUCAUCUUUUGUCUCAGAAAAUUCUGUCUCUUACUCUUCCAGUUGCCACUAAAAAUACUUAAACUCCUCUUCAACUAAUGCAGAGAGAGACAGCCACGUGGGUACUGCUGUCUUUGGCCUUAUUGCACAAAACUCCUCCAUGGGAGGGAACAGAUAAAUAGGACCCAGCUACCUUCACCAGCCUUGAGGCCAGGGCAUCGGUGAGAGAACACUUGUUAGUACCCCAAAGAUUAUCCUGCCACAGAAAGGGAGUGGCCUGCACCCCUAAACUAGUUCAGGUACAUCAGAGAGUGUGGGGUGAAGCUAUGAGGACUAUGUCCAACCUCCACCUGGUCCUCUGGGAGGAGUCCUGGAGAAGGAAAGAGCUACCGGGAGACAGGAGGAUAUUAACCAAACUUUUAAAAAUGGAAAAAGCAGGAGAUUCCAAAACUGACAGACUCAAACCUUGGUAACAUCUUUUGAAAAAAUAAAC
This 904-nucleotide long non-coding RNA is filed under the name Marmota monax (woodchuck). The record is from RNAcentral. Lineage: Eukaryota; Metazoa; Chordata; Mammalia; Rodentia; Sciuridae.